RNAcentral lists this ribosomal RNA (492 nucleotides) under uncultured bacterium. Its description in RNAcentral is "partial 16S ribosomal RNA". It matches the Rfam family "Bacterial small subunit ribosomal RNA", at positions 29 to 507 of the family's 1533-position model. The record is from RNAcentral.
AGUGAACGCUGGCGGUAGGCCUAACACAUGCAAGUCGAACGGCAGCACAGUAAGAGCUUGCUCUUACGGGUGGCGAGUGGCGGACGGGUGAGGAAUACAUCGGAAUCUACUUUUUCGUGGGGGAUAACGUAGGGAAACUUACGCUAAUACCGCAUACGACCUACGGGUGAAAGCAGGGGAUCUUCGGACCUUGCGCGAUUGAAUGAGCCGAUGUCGGAUUAGCUAGUUGGCGGGGUAAAGGCCCACCAAGGCGACGAUCCGUAGCUGGUCUGAGAGGAUGAUCAGCCACACUGGAACUGAGACACGGUCCAGACUCCUACGGGAGGCAGCAGUGAGGAAUAUUGGACAAUGGGCGCAAGCCUGAUCCAGCCAUACCGCGUGGGUGAAGAAGGCCUUCGGGUUGUAAAGCCCUUUUGUUGGGAAAGAAAAGCAGCAGGUUAAUACCCCGCUGUCCUGACGGUACCCAAAGAAUAAGCACCGGCUAACUUCGUG